RNAcentral lists this ribosomal RNA (408 nucleotides) under uncultured bacterium. RNAcentral describes it as "partial 16S ribosomal RNA". It matches the Rfam family "Bacterial small subunit ribosomal RNA", at positions 28 to 526 of the family's 1533-position model. The record is from RNAcentral.
GACGAACGCUGGCGGCGUGCUUAACACAUGCAAGUCGAACGAAGUGGCGAACGGGUGAGUAACGCGUAAUCAACCUGCCCUUCAGAGGGGGACACCAGUUGGAAACGACUGCUAAUACCGCAAACUGAAGGAGGGGAUUGCGUCGGAUCUGCUCGCUGGAGGGGGAACGGCCCACCAAGGCGAUGAUCAGUAGCCGGGCUGGGAGGAGGAACGGCCACAUUGGGACUAGGACACUGCCCAGACUCCUACGGGAGGCAGCAGUGGGGAAUCUGCCGCAAUUGACGAAAGUCUUACGGAGCAACGCCGCGUGAGUGAUGACGGCCUUCGGGUUGUAAAGCUCUGUUAAGCGGGACGCGGUACCGGAAUAGAAAGCCACGGCUAACUACGUGCCAGCAGCCGCGGUAAUAC